This 492-nucleotide ribosomal RNA is filed under the name uncultured bacterium. Its description in RNAcentral is "partial 16S ribosomal RNA". It matches the Rfam family "Bacterial small subunit ribosomal RNA", at positions 29 to 507 of the family's 1533-position model. The record is from RNAcentral.
AGUGAACGCUGGCGGUAGGCCUAACACAUGCAAGUCGAACGGCAGCACAGUAAGAGCUUGCUCUUACGGGUGGCGAGUGGCGGACGGGUGAGGAAUACAUCGGAAUCUACUUUUUCGUGGGGGAUAACGUAGGGAAACUUACGCUAAUACGCCAUACGACCUACGGGUGAAAGCAGGGGAUCUUCGGACCUUGCGCGAUUGAAGGAGCCGAUGUCGGAUUAGCUAGUUGGCGGGGUAAAGGCCCACCAAGGCGACGAUCCGUAGCUGGUCUGAGAGGAUGAUCAGCCACACUGGAACUGAGACACGGUCCAGACUCCUACGGGAGGCAGCAGUGGGGAAUAUUGGACAAUGGGCGCAAGCCUGAUCCAGCCAUACCGCGUGGGUGAAGAAGGCCUUCGGGUUGUAAAGCCCUUUUGUUGGGAAAGAAAAGCAGCAGGUUAAUACCCCGCUGUUCUGACGGUACCCAAAGAAUAAGCACCGGCUAACUUCGUG